This 1164-nucleotide long non-coding RNA is filed under the name Pogona vitticeps (central bearded dragon). RNAcentral describes it as "lncRNA (ENSPVIG00000018174.1)". Lineage: Eukaryota; Metazoa; Chordata; Lepidosauria; Squamata; Agamidae. The record is from RNAcentral.
CCGAAGGAGCCGAAAGGGCGCUCGGUCCGCCGGUGCAAUCCCCGCCGAGAGCCGCUCGCCCAAGCGCUGGGCAGGCGAGCGCGCCUCGCUCAGACCGUCACCUCCCCCGAGAGCCGGGGGGGCCCGAGCGCCACCGAAGGGGACUCCACCUGGCCGGCGGCGGGGGCUUCGUGCAUGGCGGAGAAAGGCGCGCCCCCCAACCCCUGGAGCCGGGCUUCGGGAGGCAGGGAAGCGCCCCGCGGGCACGAGCGCCAGCCACCCGGGUCCCGAUCGCCUGCCCCGCCGCCGCCGCCGCCGCCGCCUUGAAGUUCAAUGCGUUUCUACUUGUUCUGACUUCCUCAGAUACAGAUUACAAAUCAGCAACACCUCAGUCUGAAACUCAUUGGGAAAGAUGGAAGACCGUGUGCCAAGCCACCAUUGAUACAAGAUGAAAAGUAACAAGAUGACAAUGGAUAUGACAGCAAUGAAGAAUUCUAAAGGACUGAUAAAUACAGUACAGUAAUAUCCUAUGUGAUUACAGCAGUACAAAUGGUUUUGUAUUAAAUCAUGGAGACUAAUGAAAGUGACAUCUUUGAAAGACCAUGGGAAAAGAAAAGAAAAAAGAAAAAAUACGUAUGUAUAGAAAAAUUGACAGCUGUCAUUUUUUAAAAUCUCUAACACCAAAAUGUUUCCAAAUAAUUGUAAUAGAGCUGCCAUUUCCCUCUAUAUAUCAGCUCUAAUCUGUCUUCGACUGAUAGUUUUUGUGUUGUGUGUUACCUAAAUUUAAUCUCCAGUUAGCAUGAGCAUUGCCAUGUUUCCAGGUGCUUCUGCUCCCAGCCAGAACAGGAGCCCUGCACUUUUGAUAAAAGGCAAUAGGGAAUUCACAAAAUAACUAGCAGGUCUUUGUCUAUAGAGAUGACAAAAGUUAUUCUGACAUCCCCAGAGACAAAACCCAAUACAAGCACACUUCACGUAGAUUAUUGAAGUUUGUUGUCUCCAUCUUGAAACUUUAAUUACAGAUCCUGCAAUCCCAACAUCUAGCCAUUAUUAGAUUCUACUCUCCCUCCAGCCGUAAACCAUACAAUGCUUAGCCUGAUAAAGAGUCUUCCAAGAUUCAAAAACUCUCCUUUUAAUGAUAUUUCAUGGUCCAAUAAAGGUAUUACUCCACCCUAUUUUUAGGUUUGU